RNAcentral lists this ribosomal RNA (430 nucleotides) under Acidobacteriota bacterium. RNAcentral describes it as "Acidobacteria bacterium partial 16S ribosomal RNA". It matches the Rfam family "Bacterial small subunit ribosomal RNA", at positions 355 to 776 of the family's 1533-position model. The record is from RNAcentral. Lineage: Bacteria; Pseudomonadati; Acidobacteriota.
UGGGGAAUAUUGGACAAUGGGCGAAAGCCUGAUCCAGCCAUGCCGCGUGUGUGAAGAAGGCCUUUUGGUUGUAAAGCACUUUAAGCGAGGAGGAGGCUACUUGGAUUAAUACUCUAGGAUAGUGGACGUUUCUCGCAGAAUAAGCACCGGCUAACUCUGUGCCAGCAGCCGCGGUAAUACAGAGGGUGCGAGCGUUAAUCGGAUUUACUGGGCGUAAAGCGUGCGUAGGCGGCUUCUUAAGUCGGAUGUGAAAUCCCUGAGCUUAACUUAGGAAUUGCAUUCGAUACUGGGAAGCUAGAGUAUGGGAGAGGAUGGUAGAAUUCCAGGUGUAGCGGUGAAAUGCGUAGAGAUCUGGAGGAAUACCGAUGGCGAAGGCAGCCAUCUGGCCUAAUACUGACGCUGAGGUACGAAAGCAUGGGGAGCAAACAGG